This 465-nucleotide ribosomal RNA is filed under the name Vreelandella stevensii. RNAcentral describes it as "partial 16S ribosomal RNA". It matches the Rfam family "Bacterial small subunit ribosomal RNA", at positions 338 to 795 of the family's 1533-position model. The record is from RNAcentral. Lineage: Bacteria; Pseudomonadati; Pseudomonadota; Gammaproteobacteria; Oceanospirillales; Halomonadaceae.
CCUACGGGUGGCAGCAGUGGGGAAUAUUGGACAAUGGGGGCAACCCUGAUCCAGCCAUGCCGCGUGUGUGAAGAAGGCCCUCGGGUUGUAAAGCACUUUCAGUGAGGAAGAACGCCUGGUGGUUAAUACCCAUCAGGAAAGACAUCACUCACAGAAGAAGCACCGGCUAACUCCGUGCCAGCAGCCGCGGUAAUACGGAGGGUGCGAGCGUUAAUCGGAAUUACUGGGCGUAAAGCGCGCGUAGGUGGCUUGAUAAGCCGGUUGUGAAAGCCCCGGGCUCAACCUGGGAACGGCAUCCGGAACUGUCAAGCUAGAGUGCAGGAGAGGAAGGUAGAAUUCCCGGUGUAGCGGUGAAAUGCGUAGAGAUCGGGAGGAAUACCAGUGGCGAAGGCGGCCUUCUGGACUGACACUGACACUGAGGUGCGAAAGCGUGGGUAGCAAACAGGAUUAGAUACUCCGGUAGUC